GUAGGGAAUUUUCGGCAAUGGGGGAAACCCUGACCGAGCAACGCCGCGUGAAGGAAGAAGUAAUUCGUUAUGUAAACUUCUGUCAUAGAGGAAGAACGGUGCGUGUAGGGAAUGACAUGCAAGUGACGGUACUCUAUAAGAAAGCCACGGCUAACUACGUGCCAGCAGCCGCGGUAAUACGUAGGUGGCGAGCGUUAUCCGGAAUUAUUGGGCGUAAAGAGGGAGCAGGCGGCACUAAGGGUCUGUGGUGAAAGAUCGAAGCUUAACUUCGGUAAGCCAUGGAAACCGUAGAGCUAGAGUGUGUGAGAGGAUCGUGGAAUUCCAUGUGUAGCGGUGAAAUGCGUAGAUAUAUGGAGGAACACCAGUGGCGAAGGCGACGAUCUGGCGCAUAACUGACGCUCAGUCCCGAAAGCGUGGGGAGCAAAUAGGAUUAGAUACCCCUGUAGUCC
RNAcentral lists this ribosomal RNA (449 nucleotides) under uncultured bacterium. Its description in RNAcentral is "partial 16S ribosomal RNA". It matches the Rfam family "Bacterial small subunit ribosomal RNA", at positions 354 to 796 of the family's 1533-position model. The record is from RNAcentral.